Molecule: long non-coding RNA, 2845 nt
Filed under: Citrus maxima (pomelo)
Lineage: Eukaryota; Viridiplantae; Streptophyta; Magnoliopsida; Sapindales; Rutaceae
Description: long non-coding RNA (CMAX_LNC001303)
Source: RNAcentral
UCAACAAUAUUAUCAAAACAUCACUAAAUCAUCACUUGAAAUAACCAUAACAUUGUCAAAACAUCAUCUAUUCAAUCAUCACAAAUCUACAUCCCAACACUACCAUCUGGAUCAUUACCAGCAUACAAAAACAUCACAACACUAUAUAUCAUCUGAAACACUACCAGACUGAUCAAGAUUCACUACUACUUAAGACUUUAUCAAACAAUAUCAGCAUACAAAUUUCACUACCACUUAGACUUUAUCAAGAUUCACUAUCAUCUGGAACAAUACCAGCAUACAAAAUUCACUACCACUUAGCUUUUUGGGCAUCAUAUAUUCAAUCACUGGAAACUUCCAACAAAUAGUAUCAUCAAAAUACAUGGUGAAUCAAAUCCACAAUAAUAUCUCAUAAAUCAUUUACAAUAUCUAAUCACCUAAAAUAUCCAAUCACCAACCCAUCCUAGAAAAAUAAUUAAUCCAUAAAAAAAACAUUGUGGUAAAUUCCCAAAAGCCACCAACAUCACCUGAAAAGCAGAUUACAUUAAGAUGAGUACCAAAAAAAUGUAAAUUAACAUAUCGGCCACUUAUAGUUAAUCAAAUUCAUAAGGUGUCAUCACACAGUUCAAUAAUCAAGAAUAAUGAAGAAUUUCACAUGUGUAACAAAAACCUAUAAUUACUAACAAAAAUCAAUGUAACUUCAUUUUUGAACUCUUCCAUUCCUUGUCUGGAACCUUUUGACAGCCUUUUAAUUGCAAUUUCUUGCCUUUCUAUUUAUGUACCAUAGAUCUGCCUAUUAGUUAGUAUAAAAAGAAAAUAUGAUCUAAUUUCAGCAGAAUGCCACAAUAUUACCUUGGACACUGGCCCAAAUCUAAUUUCUCCCAGUUUAUUGUAACUUGAGAAGUUAUCUGUGGCCUUUGCUAUACUGGCAAAAUCAGAUUCCCAUAAUUCCAUAUCUUAUUUUCCUCCAUUAUUAUAAUUUUUCAUAUGAUUCAUCUUUGUUAAUCCUGAAAUUGUAGGAGAAUUCCAUCAUGUAAGCUCAUCAUGUAUUGACUGUUACCUGAUCACAUUUGUUUUAUGUAUGAAUUUUCUUUUGACCAUAUACUUCCCAAAGGUAAUUAGCCUACCAGGUAAACUGGUUGUCUGUUGCUUAAGUCACAACAUGUGAGACUUAAAACUAAAAUUUUGCUUUUGUUUACAAAAGGAAAAAAUAACAUGUAAACUUUUUAUUAGCUAAAAAAGAUGCUAAGUCUUUACACAUGCAUUACCUCUAAGGCAUAUUACCUCAUUAAUCUCAGCACUAGCAGCACCGUAGAGUUGCAUUUUGAACAACCUGCAAUCAGUGCCACACUCUUAAGUCAUUUUACGUGAAGCUGCUGCCCCAAACAAAAGAAUAAAUAAAUCAUUUUGAUACCAUCAAAGAAAGCCGACUAUCACUAGUUCCUCGGAGAAAAAUAUUAGUUUCCAAAAGUUCAGAGUACGACUACCAACUAGUAUUAUUAGCUCAAAGAGGGAAUAUACAAUACUUCUAAAGCGAAAUUUACAAGAGAAUAAAAAUUUUUAAUUGUUUAAGUAACAUUUAAUGUUCAGUCUAGGCAUUUAAUAGUUGUUUCAGUUGGCAUUUAUCUGGAGAAAAGUAAACAAAUAUCUACGUACCUAGAGCUUGCAUAAGUAAGUUCUUAGCAAUUCAUAUAAUAUCUACAAGAAGUAAUUUAUAGGAGAAGCCAACUUAUAGUUACAGCUGUAAUCACUAAGGCUUGAAAAAACCAAAUUAAUAAACUCAUUAACGCUUCAGACAUCAAAUAGAUAGAAGUUAUAAUUAUGUAACCUGGUACCCCCAAAGGAUCUUGUAAGUUGGCUUUAAUUUAACUUUAUCGAACUCCAUACAAGCAUUCUCGAAGAAGUAGUUACUGCCAAAGGAGCAAUUUGGCUUCAGUCAACUUAAAUUGGAAUCAUAAAACUACAACAGUACUAUGAAUGUAUUAUAAUACAAACUAGUAAUAUCUCAAAAAUAACUAAAUAAAUAAAUAAAACCAGCAUUAUCAUAAGUGAUUCAGGACUGACAAUAUAGUAACUAAGCUUAGGAGUUCAUGAGAUCCAUCACUGACACAAGUUGCAAAUCGUAUUAAGUACAUCCCAACAAGAGCUUGUGCCUUUUCUUGUUAAAUGUCUUAAUAAUUUAUAAGAAAACAAAAUUAUCUGCAAAGAAUCAAGCAGUUUAUAAAGAUUAUUGACAUACUACAAAAAUGAAAAAGAAUAGCGUUGAAAAAGGGGCAUUUGUUCCAAACAAACUUGAUUAACUGCUUCUGAAAGGUGAAUAUCCUUACAUCUAUUUGUUUCAAGUGGCUAGAGAAGGUAGAUAAAGAUUGUGACAAGGACUGUUCAUCACCAAUAUAAGCAAGAACUGAAUCAAACCAAGGAACCUUUGCAUAUUCUGAAGAUAAAACGUAAAGGCUUGCAUAUUGAGUAACCCAGUGCAGGUUAUAUAAUAGCAGAAUAAUCACUUAUAUGAAUAGCAAUCAGAUCGAUCAAAAUUGUGACAAGGACUGUUCAUCACCAAUAUCAGCAAGAACAGCGUUUAGAUCACAGAAAAAUCAAAUCAAAUCAAAAGAAUAUAAUAUAAGAAAAAGAGGAAGUAAAGACCUAGCUGAACUUGAGCGUGUUGUUCAUCGGCAAGUAGUAGCAGCAGCAGAUCGAAGAGUAAGGAUGAAGACGAAGAGUAGAAAUUUGUUGUCGGCAAGCAGCGCAGCAGAGGACCAAAUUUUUUGUCGGCAGCGUGAUUUUGUUUUUGUGUGUGAUUUGGAAAUUAGGGUUUGCCAUUUGAAGUCAAAGGAGGGUCUACCACUUACAAUUUUUUUUUUUCAAG